This 723-nucleotide long non-coding RNA is filed under the name Pan troglodytes (chimpanzee). RNAcentral's name for it is "long non-coding RNA NONPTRT007284". Lineage: Eukaryota; Metazoa; Chordata; Mammalia; Primates; Hominidae. The record is from RNAcentral.
GUGUUCCCUUGGCUCAGAGCCUUGCUUAGGUAAUGUAGAAGGACCCAGGGUACACAGGGUGGGUGGCUAUUCUCCAGAAAUGUCAGUUUCUGGGCAGGGCUUAGGUGUCUGCAGUCCCUAGUCCCACCCCUGGCCUUGCAUUCCAGCUCAGCGGGUGGAAGGUAUAAAUUUCAGCUGCUCUCAGCCCUGCUGUGUUUUUCCAAAGCCUUCCAACAGCAACAUGAAGUUGGCAGCCUUCCUCCUCCUUGUGAUCCUCAUCAUCUUCAGCCUAGAGGUACAAGAGCUUCAGGCUGCAGGAGACCGGCUUUUGGGUACCUGCGUCGAGCUCUGCACAGGUGACUGGGACUGCAACCCGGGAGACCACUGUGUCAGCAAUGGGUGUGGCCAUGAGUGUGUUGCAGGAUGAAGAGUUAUCUUAAGGAUCAUCUUUCUCUAAGAUCGUCAUCCCUUCCUGGAGUUCCUAUCUUCCAAGAUGUGACUGUCUGGAGUUCCUUGACUAGGAAGAUGGAUGAAAACAGCGAGCCUGUGGAUGGAGACUACAGGGGAUAUGGGAGGCAGGGAAGAGGGGUUGUUUCUUUUAAUAAAUCAUCAUUGUUAAAAGCACUCAUACUAUUUGAGUUAUUUGGUUAAAGGUGAGGAGGAGGGGGAGGAGGACAGAUGACAUCUGUUGCGUACUGACUAUCAACAAGGACCAUGUUAAAUUCUCCCCAGGCAUUAUCUAAG